This 256-nucleotide long non-coding RNA is filed under the name Lathyrus oleraceus (garden pea). Its description in RNAcentral is "Pisum sativum (pea) long non-coding RNA (PSAT_LNC018329)". Lineage: Eukaryota; Viridiplantae; Streptophyta; Magnoliopsida; Fabales; Fabaceae. The record is from RNAcentral.
CACAAAAAGAAAUCCAUUUUCUUCAUUUUUCAACCUUUGUUUUUUUUAAAUUUGUUUUUUAAAUUUUUUUAAACAUCCAAAUUGUUUUUCUUUCUAAUUUUUAUGACAAAUACUUCUUAUUUGUGACUUUACAUUUACAAUUUUAUUUUUGUUUUUAUUUUUUCCAUUUAUUUUACUUUGAUAACGACCAUUGUAAAUACGCCAUCUUAAUGUUUAAAACAAUGCGAUACUUGUGGAUUUUUUGCCUUGUUCCUUU